CGGGGAAUAUUGCACAAUGGGCGAAAGCCUGAUGCAGCAACGCCGCGUGAGCGAUGAAGGCCUUUGGGUCGUAAAGCUCUGUCCUAGGGGAAGAAUAAAUGACGGUACCCUUGGAGGAAGCCCCGGCUAACUACGUGCCAGCAGCCGCGGUAAUACGUAGGGGGCAAGCGUUAUCCGGAAUUAUUGGGCGUAAAGAGUGCGUAGGUGGUUUUGUAAGCGCGGGGUGAAAGGCAAUAGCUCAACUAUUGUAAGCCCUGCGAACUGUGAGACUUGAGUGCAGGAGAGGAAAGCGGAAUUCCUAGUGUGGCGGUGAAAUGCGUAGAUAUUAGGAGGAACACCAGUGGCGAAGGCGGCUUUCUGGACUGUAACUGACACUGAGGCACGAAAGCGUGGGGAGCAAACA
This 403-nucleotide ribosomal RNA is filed under the name uncultured bacterium. RNAcentral's name for it is "bacterial SSU rRNA". It matches the Rfam family "Bacterial small subunit ribosomal RNA", at positions 355 to 774 of the family's 1533-position model. The record is from RNAcentral.